Molecule: ribosomal RNA, 253 nt
Filed under: uncultured bacterium
Lineage: Bacteria
Description: partial 16S ribosomal RNA
Rfam family: Bacterial small subunit ribosomal RNA
Source: RNAcentral
UACGUAGGGUCCGAGCGUUGUCCGGAAUUACUGGGCGUAAAGAGCUCGUAGGUGGUUUGUCGCGUUGUUCGUGAAAACUCACAGCUUAACUGUGGGCGUGCGGGCGAUACGGGCAGACUUGAGUACUGCAGGGGAGACUGGAAUUCCUGGUGUAGCGGUGGAAUGCGCAGAUAUCAGGAGGAACACCAGUGGCGAAGGCGGGUCUCUGGGCAGUUACUGACGCUGAGGAGCGAAAGCGUGGGGAGCGAACAGG